UCCGCAUCGUACACACCGCCCGUCGCUCCUACCGAUUUCGAGUGUUCAGGUGAACCUUCUGGACUGAGUCGCAAGACCCGGGAAGUUAGGUAAAUCUUAACACUUAGAGGAAGGAGAAGUCGUAACAAGGUUUCCGUAGGUGAACCUGCAGAAGGAUCAAUGAUCCUUCUGCAGGUUCACCUACAAAACCUUGUUACGACUUUUACUUCCUCUAAAUGAUCAAGCUUGAACUUCUUCUCAGUCCCGGCACAUGCUUUCGCACGAGCUGGGCCCGAUCCGAGCAUCUCGCUAAACCAUUCAAUCGGUAGUAGC
This 312-nucleotide unclassified non-coding RNA is filed under the name sea anemone metagenome. Its description in RNAcentral is "partial contains small subunit ribosomal RNA and internal transcribed spacer 1". The stretch from base 1 to 162 matches the Rfam family "Eukaryotic small subunit ribosomal RNA", at positions 1654 to 1831 of the family's 1831-position model. The record is from RNAcentral.